GAUGAACGCUGGCGGCGUGCCUAAUACAUGCAAGUCGAGCGAACAGAUAAGGAGCUUGCUCCUUUGACGUUAGCGGCGGACGGGUGAGUAACACGUGGAUAACCUACCUAUAAGACUGGGAUAACUUCGGGAAACCGGAGCUAAUACCGGAUAACAUAUUGAACCGCAUGGUUCAAUAGUGAAAGGCGGCUUUGCUGUCACUUAUAGAUGGAUCCGCGCCGUAUUAGCUAGUUGGUAAGGUAACGGCUUACCAAGGCAACGAUACGUAGCCGACCUGAGAGGGUGAUCGGCCACACUGGGACUGAGACACGGUCCAGACUCCUACGGGAGGCAGCAGUAGGGAAUUUUCCGCAAUGGGCGAAAGCCUGACGGAGCAACGCCGCGUGAGGGAUGAAGGUCUUCGGAUCGUAAAACUCUGUUAUCAGGGAAGAACAAAUGUGGAAGUAACUGUGCACAUCUUGACGGUACCUUAUCAGAAAGCCACGGCUAACUACGUG
RNAcentral lists this ribosomal RNA (497 nucleotides) under uncultured bacterium. RNAcentral's name for it is "partial 16S ribosomal RNA". It matches the Rfam family "Bacterial small subunit ribosomal RNA", at positions 28 to 507 of the family's 1533-position model. The record is from RNAcentral.